RNAcentral lists this unclassified non-coding RNA (1273 nucleotides) under Homarus americanus (American lobster). Its description in RNAcentral is "zinc finger protein 883-like, transcript variant X4". The record is from RNAcentral. Lineage: Eukaryota; Metazoa; Arthropoda; Malacostraca; Decapoda; Nephropidae.
UGUUGUUGUCAGUCACUUGUGUCUUCCUUAUUCUCCCUUCCUCUUCCCCACUAGUCGGCCAGUUAGCAGCUUGGGUGGUCGGUCACAUCUCUAAUAUGUACUGACUCCACAAUGUAUCUGUAUUUGCGUUAUUGUUAGUCAAGUGUGGUCUUGAUUGAGCUCGCACUGUCACAACACUGGCAGGUUUUGAUCUCACACCGUAAAACAUUGCCAGAGUUGUGUUUGUGUUUUUAACUUGUGUCUUAUUAAACCUGAGUAGAUCAUCUGCUAGUUCAAGAUGGCAUAUGCUGUAAUAUACUUGAGAGAGGAACUGGUGACUUAGCCCAUAUGGAUACUCUAGUCAGUGAGUACAGCAUUCACUCCAGAUGUGGCUUUCAGAUAAGAGGCUCUUUGAGCAUUGAAGUGUAUCCAACAAAUAGAAUCUUGUGCUGUCAACAAUAACUGAACCAGAGGAGUUAAGGACUGCCAUAAUCAUUAUGUUUCAGGACUGAGCGAUGGAUCAACCCUGUAAAAUGACUGCAGACAAUGAACUAAGCAUGCCCUGAUGCUAGGCUUGGGGGAGGUAAUCUGUGAGAUGCAUCAGCCUAUCACAGGUAUCCCAUGCAGUUAUGUGACAGCAUUAGCCAAUCAAAGUGUUACCCAGGCAGUCUUCCCACCCACACACCGAGCACGUGAGGACCAGGGAGCAUGAUGCAGUCUUUCGUCACUCCUGGGAACCUUUGUCCCCAGGCCUGGAGUAGAAGAGUUUGGAGAGUUUUUCUCAGAAUUUUUCAGGAAAUUGCACUAUAUUUCAUCCUCAGAAUUUGUUCCCAGACCCGGUAUAGAAAAUUUUGGAGAGCUUCCAGAAUUUUUCAGAAUUACACAUUACAGGGGGUCCUUGUUAUCCGAGCUUAAUAGGGACAAGAAUAAAGACUCGGAUAGUGAUUCCAGAUAAAGGGAAAUAAAUUUCCAUAAGAAUGAAUAGGAAUAGCAUCUAAUUGGAACAUCACAUUGUAAAUGACACUCAAAAAGUUUAUUUUGAUAUCUUUAACAUUUAUAUACCUGAGAAACAUUGUUAAACAGUUGAUUACACAUUAUUUUAUGAAAUUAUUUAACAUUAUAACUUAUUUGAGGUACUUAAAGUUAUUUGGGGUCAGUGUGUUGACACGACUUGGCUGUCUAACCAUGCGGUCAGGCAACUGUGCACACAUGUAAUCGCACACUUACUCCAGUGAAAGUGGUUCACUGAGACACAUUACAAAAAUAUUUUUAAAAUAAAUAAUUUUAACAUUUA